CUGCAUUCCUGUGUCACCCACUCCAAAAGGGAAGAUGUCAAAACUUUGAAAAUAAGACCUUGGGAGACAACCGCAAGACCCAACAAGAAAUAAAGGUACAACCGUCAGUGGAGACCGCAAAAAUAAAGGACUUACAAGAGCUACAGAUUAUAAAGAACAUCUUGAAGGAAAGAAUGGAAGAGGCUAGAAAGCUCUGAAAAAUAGAAACAUGACCCAAAAAGAACUUUAAAAGAAAGUGGAGAAGAGAAGCUUGAGUAGGAAGAAAAUGAAGCUGUGGAAUCUAUUAAGAAUUAGGUCUGUGGUAUGGAACUGGCCAAACGCAAGGUGGAAAGAAGAAAUAAAGGUGAUCCCUGUGGGGAAGAACUCCUGGAAGCGUCUGGAAUAAAAGCAAGAAAAAUGGGAAGCAGGAGAGGAACUAAAAUGCUGACUGAAUGUUUGUGAUGUUAAAUCUAGGUUGUUCAUUGAAGAAGAGGAAGCUGGUCUCAUAAUAAUGACUUCUGUUGCGAAACGCCAGAAACUGCUUUCUGAAAAGAUGUUCCUGUGAUCGAGUGGUUUGUCUGACGGUUAGCUCUUUGCACAGAUAAAUCCUGUUAGUGGGCAGUCAGCACCCGAGACAGACACCUGCUCUAACAGAUUAGCUUUACUGGGCAAGCAUACAAGAGCAUGAAGUGAAGCAGUGAUAUGUGUUCCUUGUUAAGCUCAGCUCCCCAGUCCAUCGCCUGUGCAUCUGGGGAGUGCAGGAACCCGGGAUGGGCUAUGGCAGAGGUCAGUGUGGACGUAGCUCCUUUGAAUCGAACGUGUUCACAGGUGCAUUGUUUCGGUCACAUUUUGUAAUUCCCCAGCUUUUUUUUCCAAGGGAUUGAUGCUGAUACCUCACUAGAGGCUUUUCCAGCUCCUCCUGUAACUCUACUUUCCUUAUCUUGCCAAGGAUGCUUCCCUCACCUUUCCUAACCCAUCAGUGCUGCUCAGGGAGUCCUAAAUUGCACAGUGGAAGUUACUCUUCUCAUUUUCAGGGAGUCUGUCACGCGUGAUUUAGCCAGCUGUUGCUUGUGCCAGCUGCACGCUCCCUGCCCUGCAGCAACAGCUUCCUGACAUGACCAGAUGUCAUUGAUGCAAACCUUACAUCUGCACUGUGACCAUUUUCGUGUAU
Molecule: long non-coding RNA, 1150 nt
Organism: Dromaius novaehollandiae (emu)
Lineage: Eukaryota; Metazoa; Chordata; Aves; Casuariiformes; Dromaiidae
Exons: 3
Source: RefSeq, a predicted model, not a curated record